UACGGGGGGAGCAAGCGUUGUUCGGAUUUACUGGGCGUAAAGGGCGCGUAGGCGGCCACCGCAAGUCAAUUGUGAAAUCUCCGGGCUUAACCCGGAAAGGUCAGCCGAUACUGCGGGGCUAGAGUGCAGAAGGGGCAACUGGAAUUCUCGGUGUAGCGGUGAAAUGCGUAGAUAUCGAGAGGAACACCUGCGGCGAAGGCGGGUUGCUGGGCUGACACUGACGCUGAGGCGCGAAAGCUAGGGGAGCGAACGGG
RNAcentral lists this ribosomal RNA (254 nucleotides) under uncultured bacterium. RNAcentral's name for it is "partial 16S ribosomal RNA". It matches the Rfam family "Bacterial small subunit ribosomal RNA", at positions 524 to 776 of the family's 1533-position model. The record is from RNAcentral.